This 449-nucleotide ribosomal RNA is filed under the name uncultured bacterium. RNAcentral's name for it is "bacterial SSU rRNA". It matches the Rfam family "Bacterial small subunit ribosomal RNA", at positions 330 to 793 of the family's 1533-position model. The record is from RNAcentral.
UCCAGACUCCUACGGGAGGCAGCAGUGGGGAAUAUUGCACAACGGGCGAAAGCCUGAUGCAGCAACGCCGCGUGAAGGAAGAAGGGUUUCGGCUCGUAAACUUCUAUCAACAGGGACGAAAGAAAUGACGGUACCUGAAUAAGAAGCCCCGGCUAACUACGUGCCAGCAGCCGCGGUAAUACGUAGGGGGCAAGCGUUAUCCGGAUUUACUGGGUGUAAAGGGAGCGUAGACGGUGCAGCAAGUCUGGAGUGAAAGGCAGGGGCCCAACCCCUGGACUGCUCUGGAAACUGUUGUACUUGAGUGCAGGAGAGGUAAGUGGAAUUCCUAGUGUAGCGGUGAAAUGCGUAGAUAUUAGGAGGAACACCAGUGGCGAAGGCGGCUUACUGGACUGUAACUGACGUUGAGGCUCGAAAGCGUGGGGAGCAAACAGGAUUAGAUACCCCUGUAC